CCCUUAGAUGUCCUGGGCCGCACGCGCGCUACACUGACGGAGCCAGCGAGCUUACCCCUUUGCCGAAAGGCAUGGGAAAUCUUUUGAAUCUCCGUCGUGCUGGGGAUAGAUCAUUGCAAUUAUUGAUCUUGAACGAGGAAUUCCUAGUAAGCGCAAGUCAGCAGCUUGCGUUGAUUACGUCCCUGCCCUUUGUACACACCGCCCGUCGCUACUACCGAUUGAAUGGUUUAGUGAGAUCUUCGGAUUGGCGCCACUGCGGCUCAGCAAUGGGCUCGGUGGAUGCCGAAAAGUUGAUCAAACUUGAUCAUUUAGAGGAAGUAAAAGUCGUAACA
RNAcentral lists this ribosomal RNA (332 nucleotides) under uncultured eukaryote. RNAcentral's name for it is "partial 18S ribosomal RNA". It matches the Rfam family "Eukaryotic small subunit ribosomal RNA", at positions 1470 to 1796 of the family's 1831-position model. The record is from RNAcentral.